Molecule: ribosomal RNA, 492 nt
Filed under: uncultured bacterium
Lineage: Bacteria
Description: partial 16S ribosomal RNA
Rfam family: Bacterial small subunit ribosomal RNA
Source: RNAcentral
AGUGAACGCUGGCGGUAGGCCUAACACAUGCAAGUCGAACGGCAGCACAGUAAGAGCUUGCUCUUACGGGUGGCGAGUGGCGGACGGGUGAGGAAUACAUCGGAAUCUACUUUUUCGUGGGGGAUAACGUAGGGAAACUUACGCUAAUACCGCAUACGACCUACGGGUGAAAGCAGGGGAUCUUCGGACCUUGCGCGAUUGAAUGAGCCGAUGUCGGAUUAGCUAGUUGGCGGGGUAAAGGCCCACCAAGGCGACGAUCCGUAGCUGGUCUGAGAGGAUGGGAGGCCACAUUAGGAGAGAAACGGGGCCCGGCCCCCUAGGGGGGGCGAGAGGGGGGAAUAGUGGACAAUGGGCGCAAGCUGGAUCCGGCCAUCGCGGGGGGGGGAAAAAGGCUUUGGGGUUGUAAAGCCUUUUUGUGGGAAAAAAAAGGCAGCAGGUUAUUCCCCCGCUGUUUUGAGGUAACCAAAAAAAAAAGCACCGGCUAACUUGGUG